GCCCCUCACCGUGCUCUGCUCUGCGGGGUCCCGCACCCUUCCCAGCAGUUCCCAGGUUCGGUCGCCCUGCCCCCAGGAUCGUCCCCUCUACUCUCCCCUCCUCUGGCCCCGCUCCUCCCCCUCGCGUUCACAGGGCAGAGGCAGCACCAGCUGUGUGUGUCCGGCAGGCUUCUGCAUUGAGGCCGGGCAGGGUGGUUGCGGGUCCUAAUUGCAGUGCCACAGCUGCUCCGGCUUGGAGGACUGAUUUGUAAGGUGGAGGCUGCGGCAGGGGCGGAUUUCAUACCAAGUGCCACUGUGAAAUACCAAUCAGACUUUACAAUGACAACCUAUUUGGAAUUCAUCCAACAAAAUGAAGAACAAGAUGGAAUCCAAUUUAGUUGGAAUGUUUGGCCAUCAAGUCGACUAGAAGCUAUAAGAAUGGUGGUUCCAGUAGCAGCCCUAUUCACACCAGAUUUGCCAACUCUUCAGUAAGAACCUGUUGUGUGGAGUAGGACCACUUGCCGUGCAGUUUUUAAUCCUUUGUGUCAAGUGGAUUAUCAAGCAAAAUUCUGGGCUUGCAACUUUUGUUAUCAAAGGAAUCAGGUAAGAAAACCCCCAUUGCUGAUGUUAAUGCUAUAAUACUGUUCUAACUAUGCAGAAAAAUGCACAUAU
Long non-coding RNA from Phacochoerus africanus (Common warthog), 651 nucleotides. RefSeq lists it as uncharacterized. The transcript has 3 exons. The record is from RefSeq and is a predicted model, not a curated record. Lineage: Eukaryota; Metazoa; Chordata; Mammalia; Artiodactyla; Suidae.